This 468-nucleotide ribosomal RNA is filed under the name uncultured bacterium. Its description in RNAcentral is "partial 16S ribosomal RNA". It matches the Rfam family "Bacterial small subunit ribosomal RNA", at positions 28 to 507 of the family's 1533-position model. The record is from RNAcentral.
GACGAACGCUGGCGGCGUGCUUAACACAUGCAAGUCGAACGGAAAGGCCCUUCUUUUGUGGGGUGCUCGAGUGGCGAACGGGUGAGUAACACGUGAGUAACCUGCCCUUUACUUUGGGAUAACUUCAGGAAACUGGGGCUAAUACCGGAUAGGAGCUCCUGCUGCAUGGUGGGGGUUGGAAAGUUUCGGCGGUUGGGGAUGGACUCGCGGCUUAUCAGCUUGUUGGUGGGGUAGUGGCUUACCAAGGCUUUGACGGGUAGCCGGCCUGAGAGGGUGACCGGACACAUUGGGACUGAGAUACGGCCCAGACUCCUACGGGAGGCAGCAGUGGGGAAUAUUGCACAAUGGGCGGAAGCCUGAUGCAGCAACGCCGCGUGCGGGAUGACGGCCUUCGGGUUGUAAACCGCUUUCGCAUGUGACGAAGCGUGAGUGACGGUAAUGGGUAAAGAAGCACCGGCUAACUACGUG